This 2546-nucleotide long non-coding RNA is filed under the name Haliotis rufescens (red abalone). RNAcentral describes it as "uncharacterized LOC124147549". The record is from RNAcentral. Lineage: Eukaryota; Metazoa; Mollusca; Gastropoda; Lepetellida; Haliotidae.
AUGGUCUGGCGCUUUCCAUACAGUACACUGGCAAGCCGGGUGCCCUGGAAGAUCAACACGCAAGCGACUCACAACUAGGUCACUCACGGCCAUGUUGUAUGGUGUCGCAAUGACUUCCUUGAAGGGUGGAUGUAUUAUUGUACCUAUAUUCGCUAUCUCCAACGCGCAAGAAGUGUGUUACGUGAAAAAUUCUGAUGGGACUUACAGAAAGAAAUACUGUGAAUUCAACUGUUGUGGUUUGUCAUCUACAUACUGCUGCAGCGAGCCAGGCACAGCAAAUACUGGACUUAUUGUUGGACUCGUGGUGGGGAUUUUAGUUCUGAUUGCUGUGGUCGUGGGUGUCAUAUUAUAUUGCCUCUACCGUCGUCGUAAAUCACGAAGACAGGGUCAACCAGUAUCCACAAACAGCCAAGAAGAUGUUAACUCAACAGUUUCAGCCGAUGCACCCUAUCCUGACAAAGACUACCCAGCUGAGCCGCCACCCGAUCCGUAUUACCUCCCACCCGUAGAGAUGAAACGUCUUCCUUCUCUUCCUCGCCAGUCUCGUUCAUCUACACAUUCAGUCCCUUCCUCGCCUACUGCAACAACAGCAUCUGCCACAGUUACGGAUAUAUGAUAAACUUUGUUUGGUUGUUAUAUAUAUGUGUCACCAAACAAGUGAUUGUCAAUAACUUAUACUAUAUACAUGUGUGCAUGGGCGAUGUACAGACUUUAGCUUUUCGUGACGGAUAAAUGGUCGAUAUGACACAAAACGUUAACACUCUCAGUACAUGCUUUGCAUGUAGAGCAGGUAUAAGUAUUUUCUUAUUAAAGUGUGUUGGAACAUAACAACCGUUAGCAAGUAGAUAUAUGAUGCAAGUAAGUAUAUCAAGUUUUUAACAAAACAUGUUUUCGCGGGAUAUGUAAAAUGCAGUAACAUGAUGUAAAGUAGAACAAACAGACUUGUAAAUCAUGUAUGAUAGUAACAAAUGUUAUAUUUGGGAUAACACUAUCUUAGUCAAGUACAGAUUCGAGUACCUUUUUAGGUUGAGUCCCAUCCGAGAUUCGAACCCACACUGCAAGAGUGAGGCACAUAAUCGCCAGCACACGAUAAAUGGCAUUGUGUUUUCAUGUAGGAUAAUAUCAUUUAUUUAUAAAAAAAGUAAAAACCAAAUAUGUUAGUUUUCAACAAAAUCAAUAACAAAGGCAUAUGUGCAGGAAUCACAUGAAUCCAUAGAUAGUUCUUGUAGAAAUGUUUGACAAGCUUCAUAUUGUUCGUCUGAAUGUAUAAUUUUAUACAAUUACAUCAUUAUUUCGUAAGUAAAAUCCAAUGAUCUCCAGAUAUCUCCGAAGGAGGUACAUGCACAUGAACACUAGACUAUCCAUUGUUUGUUAUCAUCCAUGUUAUACAUCAUUUUCAUCUAUGUACUGCAUCUUUUGCAUUUUCAUAAAAUACAAAAUUAGUAAAUAUUACACAAUUUCCACUAGACUAUCUACCAUCGUUACAAGCUAUAAUGAUGACGAUGCAACUUAAAGUAGAUUAGACGUGAGAUAUCACAUAUGUAGUUUUGUACCGAGGUAUAUUCAUUUAAUGAACAAAAUAUUUAAACAUAUCCGUCUAAUUACGUAGUCUAUGAAUUUGUUACGACUUACCAUUUUGUUUGUUACGUCCUGCGUUUGGUUCAUACAUUGAUGUAGUCAUACCUUCUAAAGGAUGUUGUCAAUGUACGAAUGACAAACUUUAAGAAUAGCGUUGUGACAGUUCUUUUUACCCCCUAAAUGGGAUAGGCAAAAACGGCUAUGCGUGAAAAUACACCACCAUUGUCAACGGCAUCAAAUUGGUUAAACGGCUCGAGGUAUUGUUGGCGAAAACGUGACCAUAUAUUAUUCGGCAUAUAUAGGGAACGCAUCCACUUUUUACCAUGCAUCAUACAUCUAUUUAUCAUAAACAUUAUUUGGCAGUCUGACAACAUUCAAUCCAAUUCACGCCGAAGACCCGGGUUCGAUUCCCGACAUGGGUACAAUGUGUGAAGCCCAUUUCUGGUGUACCCCGCCGUGAUAUUGCUGGAAUAUUGCUAAAAGCGGCGUAAAACCAAACUCACUCACUCACUCACUCACUCUGAAUAUAACAUAAUGUUAACAACAUUCAAACCAUAUGAUAUUGUUCAACAUAGACACCAUUCUUCAUUUGUAGCAUAAUGCUAACAAAUGCUACAGUUGAAAACAUUCUGGGUGGCCUCUGAACAAUCCUGAACUUAACAUCAAAUAAGCACUGUCGUUUUCCAUGGUGCCGCUGUGACCAUAAUCCUCUGAAUGUGCUUCGAUCUUAGCUUGCAAUGAUAUAUGGUAUUCUAUUACAAGACCCCGUAAUGAUAAUUGACACAUUAUGAAUGAUUGUUCCGUUACUGUAUAUUUGUCCAUUUUUAUUUGCAACAACAUAUGAAAUAUGUUAUAUGACAUUGUUAUUAUUGAUGAUGUGUUUCAUAUUAUUGAUACUUUUCACGCAGCAAAUUGCAGGCAACAGUUGCGAGUGUAUAAAAUGUUUCAAAGUAAAAUAUCUAUCCAAA